Long non-coding RNA from Xenopus laevis (African clawed frog), 569 nucleotides. RefSeq lists it as uncharacterized. The record is from RefSeq and is a predicted model, not a curated record. NCBI's taxonomy places the organism in Eukaryota, Metazoa, Chordata, Amphibia, Anura, Pipidae. The transcript has 3 exons.
GGGGGAAUCAUUGGUCGUCAAGGUUUCAGAUUUCGGGAUGGCCAGGAGUGUUCGUGUAGGAAGUGUUCAGCAAGUGUGAAAUUCCAUUUGAACAUUGUUUUCAACUCUGAGGCUGUGGUCUCCUGAAAGAGUGUACAUGCUGAUGAACAACUGCUGGUAAGAGGCAACAAGCUGGGCAGUCAGAAAGGGGGGAACACGUGCGUCUGCUGAAUCCCUCACCUACGCCCAGCGAGGAUCCCCAAACUGGGUCUUCAUGGGACAAUUUCCUGCAGAGCCUCCAGCUGGUCCCACGUCGCAGAGGAUGGAUCUGGUGCCUGUAACCCCCCAGGUUAGUAUUAAUGCACACAUUUUACACAUUACGUACACAUUACGUGUUACACAUUAAUACACACUUACAGUUACACACACUCACAUACAUUUUAGUGAGGCAAGAUGUUCUCCGGGAUUGUUGCUGUAACUGUGGGAUGGCGUUUUUUAAGGCAAGAUGGCCUCCGAAAUUGUUGCUGUAACUAUGGGAUAAUGUUCUGUGAGGCAAGAUAGUCUCUGGGAUUUUAGCUUAUUUCACCGUA